CUUUCCCUUUGUGCCGUUUCUCAUACAGGCUGGUCGGGUCAGACGUAUCGCGUGUUAUCAGCGGACAGCGAGCCACACAACGUCCGCGCAUGGACGAGCCUCGUUUGCGUGCGCGCGCACGCGAGCGUGUCUUCCGUUUUGCGAGUAUGUCGCUGGCCUCGUGUGUCCGUUCGUUCCCGCAAGAUAUGAGUGGAACACAAAUUCGAAAGACUCUUCUGGUGAUGUGGUAGAGGGAUAACAGUUGUUUUUGUAACGAUGACCCAUACGAUAAUUAGGAGCACCGAUGCGUCAUCCUAGAUUCUUGAACUAGAGUUUCCUAUUUCUCCAAAGGAAUCAGCCGGUUCACCGCAUUAAGAGCGGUGAUCUUUGAUUGCCUCUGCAGAACUCGUGCCGCGCAUGUCCAACGAAGCUUCCAAAACCUCAAAAUAUUUUCUGCCAAGAAAAAUUCAUCAAACCCCCUUCCUCGACGAUAUUUUCCGUUGCUACGGCGAAACGCGACUAACCAUUUGAUUAUGCACUCUAGCUUGAUAAAUUAUGGACAUCCGUAUCGUGCAUCAAAUUGAUUUCGUAAUAAUUGAGCAUGUAUUUGAAAAUCCAAUACUUUACCGAUAUACACGAAAAAUAAUCUAAACGGAAAUUAUAAAUUAAAAGCAACGUUAUGUUUCUCUUAUUCGAAUAAUAAAAUGAAAUAGUAAAAUAUUUUUAAGAUUGAAUGUAAGAAACCAAGUUAAAAAGAUGUUUACAUGAAAAAUGCUACAAUUUCUGAAUGUAAAUGAAAAAUAACAAAAAUGAUCAAUAUAAUCCUCAUUUAUUAAUAUCUGUUAUGUAAAUUAAAAAUGAAGUUAUUAUCUUCUGUUUGAAUAAUAAUAUAAAAUAAUUUUAAGAUUAAAUGUAAGAAACAGACC
RNAcentral lists this unclassified non-coding RNA (905 nucleotides) under Bombus terrestris (buff-tailed bumblebee). RNAcentral's name for it is "misc RNA ENSBTSG00005037259.1". Lineage: Eukaryota; Metazoa; Arthropoda; Insecta; Hymenoptera; Apidae. The record is from RNAcentral.